GGAAGUGGUAGCUCAGUGGUUAAGACUUUGGCCUCGUAAUCGGAAGGUCAUAAGUUCAAUCCCCAGCACUGCCA
This is a non-coding RNA of Pangasius djambal, 74 nucleotides long. The record is from the annotation of a GenBank genome assembly. Lineage: Eukaryota; Metazoa; Chordata; Actinopteri; Siluriformes; Pangasiidae.